Molecule: ribosomal RNA, 467 nt
Filed under: uncultured bacterium
Lineage: Bacteria
Description: partial 16S ribosomal RNA
Rfam family: Bacterial small subunit ribosomal RNA
Source: RNAcentral
GACGAACGCUGGCGGCGUGCUUAACACAUGCAAGUCGAACGGAAAGGCCCUGCUUUUGUGGGGUGCUCGAGUGGCGAACGGGUGAGUAACACGUGAGUAACCUGCCCUUGACUUUGGGAUAACUUCAGGAAACUGGGGCUAAUACCGGAUAGGAGCUCCUGCUGCAUGGUGGGGGUUGGAAAGUUUCGGCGGUUGGGGAUGGACUCGCGGCUUAUCAGCUUGUUGGUGGGGUAGUGGCUUACCAAGGCUUUGACGGGUAGCCGGCCUGAGAGGGUGACCGGCAACAUUGGGACUGAGAUACGGCCCAGACUCAUACGGGAGGCAGCAGUGGGGAAUAUUGCACAAUGGGCGGAAGCCUGAUGCAGCAACGCCGCGUGCGGGAUGACGGCCUUCGGGUUGUAAACCGCUUUCGCCUGUGACGAAGCGUGAGUGACGGUAAUGGGUAAAGAAGCACCGGCUGACUACGU